UUUGAGUACUGGCCCCUUUGUCAAGUUUGUUUUUGUGGUUGAACGUUCUUAACUCUCAUACGCAUUCAUUAUGGUGUAAUGGUACUGACCACUAAUAAGGUACUCAGAGACGACGUACAAUAAAUGUUUGGUGUCUUGUGACAAAUCUAUUGCGCCGGUUUACGACUGAGGUAGAGCAGAUGCAACUGCGGAGAGUCUAAAAUAGCUCCACCACACUGGAGGGUUUUCUGACUUAAUAAUGUCAACACCAGGGCCUUUACACAGCCAGAUGGAGUCACUUUAUUUUUUGGACUGAUUGCGCCGACUCAAGUUUUAUCUCCAUUCGUUCUCAUAGCAGAGAGAGAGCAAGGAGGGACAGAUGUCUGGUCUAGUCAACAAAGUAAUUUAUGAAGUGCUUUUAAAAGCAGCGUUGCCACAAGUUUUUGUGUAACAAAGCAGAUAAAUACACAAAAACAUCUGACCGCACUGCAUACAUCUUAGCAUAUGAGGCCACAUCUCUCGCGCUCGCUGAGUGAAAACACGUGAAAGAAGCAUUAUUAAGGUGCACAAAGACCAGAGAGGAUCUGUUUCCCUGUGAAUUAAAGUUUGGACUAUUUAAACUGCAAUGUACUUAUAAUUAUUAUUUUUUUGUCAUCUGAAAAAUUGUUAAAGCUCCAGGAAAUCCACUCAAUUACUAUUAAUAUAUUUAUCUGACUAGUAAAAUAGAUACCAGACUCAAAAGUUGGAAAUUACUGAAUUCAGUUGGCAAUUUAAUUUAUUUUGGGGAUAAAAUGAAGGAUUUUCAUUUUGUACGGUUAUGCAUUGGUUUUGAUCAUCUAAUAUCGUCUUGAAUAUUAGUUUAUAAGCCAUAUACUUUUGCUAGCUUUCAAAUACGUCUAUACAUUUACACUUUGGAAUGCAGGACUUUUACCAGUAAUUUAGUAUUUCUUUACACUGUUGUAUUGGUACUUUGACUUCAGUAGGUUUGAGCAAUUAUUCAACAUUCCCUCAGAACCAGAAACACGUGUUUAUCUCUGGAACAUGUGGCCAAGGAGAAAGCAAUAUAGAUACUUGGGACUUUUUUUCUUUUAUCGGAACUGUUUCUUUUCCAACAAUGAAGAUCAAAUCAAGGUGCAAGUUACAGACUUUUUAAAUAUUCAAGUUAACCACAAAUCUCAUGACAGCAUGACAUCAUGCAGUGCUCAGAACAGAGUGGGACCAAUUAAUGAAAUAAAUGCAUCAAUUUAAGGUGGCAAGAACAUGUUUGGGUUCUAUUGCAAAAGCAUGACUACUAUCAAUAUUUAUUUCUAUUUUAAAUACUUUUUGAUGAAUUUGGAGAAAGUAUUGGGCAGUGUACAACCUACCAACAAAUAUAUAUACUCCAUACUGAAUCAGUAUGUUAUUUACUAAAUGUCACAUCUCCAAAAAAGUUGCAGGAAAUUUCCAAAUAGGCAUUAUUUGGAUGACGACUGCAUAUGGGAAAACAAAAUGGUCACUUUCUCUUCUCACAUGAUCUUAAGACUUUUCAUUCAAGUCUCACAGAUGAAGGCAACACAAUGCAUGGUCAGUGAGCUGGGAAUGUGCAGUAAGCUCACGUCUCAUUGAUCAUUCUUAAUGUGGUCCUGGUAUAAACAUUUCCCGCAUGAAUAAAAUCCACAUGCUACGAACUGCGUUUGUACCAGUGAAAAACCAUAUUUGUACUGUUGAGAUGUGAUGUAGAGACGCCAUUCACCGCUUUGGAAGCGGCAGCUGUCAAUCACAGUAAGCCCGCCCUAAAGCACUCUCCACUUUAUUGUCUAUUUCAGGGAGUAAACCUACGGGAAGAACUGCUGUGUUGAUGUGUGUGCACAGUAUGUGUUGCUUUGCUUCAGGCUUGUUGUUUGUCGGUUCGGCGCACACUUUCUUAAUCUUCAAAGGGAAAAUGUAAAUGAUGUUCAGCGUGCAGAGAUGAUAUCGACCUGUGAAUGUAGGUUUUAAUGUGUUUAACCUGGUUCUCUGAUAUUCAACGUUCAUGAUGUCUGAACGUCUAAGACCUAUUUUCAAACGGCUAAAGUGUGGUUCCAACAUAAAUAAGUCAGAAAAUGCCAAUUUGUUGAUCAUUUGUUCUGUAGUAACGUAAGUUCGAAAGAGACGUGAUAUUGUGGUUAAGAUUUUCAUGUUAAUUAACUGGUGGACAAAAUUUGGUCUACGGUCAACAUAUUUAAAAUCUCAUUUAAAACACCAUGUCACGGCCAGACAAUGGACCUGAACCCAAAUACACGAUUCGAGAAGCAACGUUUAAAAUCUAAGUUUAAUAAAGUAAAAACCCCAAAUGAAAAUCACUCUUGAAAGAGGAAAACCCUCCGCUAAAUCUAAGAACAAAAAAAAUGAGAUCUUGGCCAGUAUGUGGCUCCUUCCCUAAAAUGACAGCACUGGUUUAAGCUGUCCCAGGUUUACACCCUCAUAUUGAUUUGUAGUGACGAGGCUUUCUGUUCCCUCCUACGGAGAUGACGUCCUUGCUUCAUGUUUAUUGACAAUAAUUCAUAGUGGCCCCCAACUUUACGAAAACAAUAAACGUCUUCCAGGUACAUGGUUCAAACAUCUGCAGAAGGUCUCCUUCUUUUUUAACCGAGUGGCUAUGCGCUGCCAGAGGCUUCCUUGUAAGCUGGUUUUGAAAAUGAAUGCCUUUAUGUUUUGGGUUGGACCCACUGAAUAAUUUGCUAUGUAAUUACAUACUCUGCAAAAGCUUCCCUGUCCACUAGGGCCCAUUUGGGAUUCUCUGUAGCAUUGCAGUCACAACCAGAGCCUUGACCAAAUCAAAACUCAAAGCCACUCUCUAAUCAAAAAACUGGAAAACUCACAUCCAGAGACUAACCUUUUUUUAAGUUUUAUGUCUCCCGAUUGCUAAAUAUCCUUACAUCAACAAUUGGGGUGUAAUUUCAGAUUUGCUGCUUUGCCAAGCGUUUUUUGUUUUCAUUUGAACCGCUGCAAAACAGCCCCCUGGGGAGACGCUGCCGUCAUUAAAGUUGGAACGGGUUUGCUGAAGGAGAUGACAGCACACUGCGGAAAAGUCAUCCCCGUGGCUAAUGGGGAGACCUCGGACGGAUUUAGUACGGAUGAAAAAACCUGCUGUCAACAUUAUGCUCACUUUAAUACAGGUUUAAGGGUAUUUAGUGAUUGUUGCAACUUGUGCAGACCAUUUCCAAUAUUCAGCAUCGAGCUUAAUCAUUGACACAAUGGCCGUGCAGUGCUCAGUUGACACCUCCUGUUUCCGGUAGGCAUGUAUGUAAACCGAGCGACAACACCUGGUGCUGAAAAGAAUCAAGCCAAUGCAGUGGUGCCAAAAAGCUGCAGCUCUUUCAAUGACCAAUUGAGGCACGGCUCCAAAAGCGAGCUACUCUCCAAAAUCAAACAUGUUUAAAUGAACCUGUUGACAAUCUUGCACAAGAGACUUUUU
Long non-coding RNA from Gasterosteus aculeatus aculeatus (three-spined stickleback), 3415 nucleotides. The record is from Ensembl. Lineage: Eukaryota; Metazoa; Chordata; Actinopteri; Perciformes; Gasterosteidae.